Molecule: unclassified non-coding RNA, 300 nt
Filed under: uncultured fungus
Lineage: Eukaryota; Fungi
Description: sequence contains ITS1
Source: RNAcentral
GUAUAAUUUUUGUUUAUAGGCGCAAAGGCCCAUUUAUUAAACAUUCGGUUACAUAUAUUGGGGUAUAUAAACAAACAUAGACGUAGGAAAUAGUAAAACCAAGAAAAAAUGCUUUUUCAAAACCAAUGAAGGCUUAUCCUUACAAAUUUCCGUUACAGAUUUUUUCUUCCCUAGUCUACAAAAGGUGCACAGGUGGAGAUAUAAAGAUGACGAAGGCGUGCACAUGCAAUAAAUUGCCAGCUACAACCAACAUCAAGUUUAUUUUCAAUAAUGAUCCUUCCGCAGGUUCACCUACGGAAA